RNAcentral lists this ribosomal RNA (1345 nucleotides) under uncultured bacterium. RNAcentral's name for it is "partial 16S ribosomal RNA". It matches the Rfam family "Bacterial small subunit ribosomal RNA", at positions 28 to 1381 of the family's 1533-position model. The record is from RNAcentral.
GACGAACGCUGGCGGCGUGCUUACACAUGCAAGUCGAACGGAAAGGCCCUGCUUUUGUGGGGUGCUCGAGUGGCGAACGGGUGAGUAACACGUGAGUAACCUGCCCUUGACUUUGGGAUAACUUCAGGAAACUGGGGCUAAUACCGGAUAGGAGCUCCUGCUGCAUGGUGGGGGUUGGAAAGUUUCGGCGGUUGGGGAUGGACUCGCGGCUUAUCAGCUUGUUGGUGGGGUAGUGGCUUACCAAGGCUUUGACGGGUAGCCGGCCUGAGAGGGUGACCGGCCACAUUGGGACUGAGAUACGGCCCAGACUCCUACGGGAGGCAGCAGUGGGGAAUAUUGCACAAUGGGCGGAAGCCUGAUGCAGCAACGCCGCGUGCGGGAUGACGGCCUUCGGGUUGUAAACCGCUUUCGCCUGUGACGAAGCGUGAGUGACGGUAAUGGGUAAAGAAGCACCGGCUAACUACGUGCCAGCAGCCGCGGUGAUACGUAGGGUGCGAGCGUUGUCCGGAUUUAUUGGGCGUAAAGGGCUCGUAGGUGGUUGAUCGCGUCGGAAGUGUAAUCUUGGGGCUUAACCCUGAGCGUGCUUUCGAUACGGGUUGACUUGAGGAAGGUAGGGGAGAAUGGAAUUCCUGGUGGAGCGGUGGAAUGCGCAGAUAUCAGGAGGAACACCAGUGGCGAAGGCGGUUCUCUGGGCCUUUCCUGACGCUGAGGAGCGAAAGCGUGGGGAGCGAACAGGCUUAGAUACCCUGGUAGUCCACGCUGUAAACGGUGGGUACUAGGUGUGGGGUCCAUUCCACGGGUUCCGUGCCGUAGCUAACGCUUUAAGUACCCCGCCUGGGGAGUACGGCCGCAAGGCUAAAACUCAAAGGAAUUGACGGGGCCCCGCACAAGCGGCGGAGCAUGCGGAUUAAUUCGAUGCAACGCGUAGAACCUUACCUGGGUUUGACAUGGAUCGGGAGUGCUCAGAGAUGGGUGUGCCUCUUUUGGGGUCGGUUCACAGGUGGUGCAUGGCUGUCGUCAGCUCGUGUCGUGAGAUGUUGGGUUAAGUCCCGCAACGAGCGCAACCCUUGUUCACUGUUGCCAGCACGUUAUGGUGGGGACUCAGUGGAGACCGCCGGGGUCAACUCGGAGGAAGGUGGGGAUGACGUCAAGUCAUCAUGCCCCUUAUGUCCAGGGCUUCACGCAUGCUACAAUGGCUGGUACAGAGAGUGGCGAGCCUGUGAGGGUGAGCGAAUCUCGGAAAGCCGGUCUCAGUUCGGAUUGGGGUCUGCAACUCGACCUCAUGAAGUCGGAGUCGCUAGUAAUCGCAGAUCAGCAACGCUGCGGUGAAUACGUUCCCGGGGCU